RNAcentral lists this ribosomal RNA (430 nucleotides) under uncultured bacterium. Its description in RNAcentral is "bacterial SSU rRNA". It matches the Rfam family "Bacterial small subunit ribosomal RNA", at positions 355 to 777 of the family's 1533-position model. The record is from RNAcentral.
UGGGGAAUGUUGGACAAUGGGCGCAAGCCUGAUCCAGCUAUUCCGCGUGUGGGAUGAAGGCCCUCGGGUUGUAAACCACUUUUGUAGAGAACGAAAAGACACCUUCGAAUAAAGGUUGUUGCUGACGGUACUCUAAGAAUAAGCAUCGGCUAACUACGUUCCAGCAGCCGCGGUAAUACGUAGGGUGCGAGCGUUAAUCGGAAUUACUGGGCGUAAAGGGUGCGCAGGCGGUUGAGUAAGACAGAUGUGAAAUCCCCGAGCUUAACUCGGGAAUGGCAUAUGUGACUGCUCGACUAGAGUGUGUCAGAGGGAGGUGGAAUUCCACGUGUAGCAGUGAAAUGCGUAGAUAUGUGGAAGAACACCGAUGGCGAAGGCAGCCUCCUGGGACAUAACUGACGCUCAGGCACGAAAGCGUGGGGAGCAAACAGGA